This 496-nucleotide ribosomal RNA is filed under the name uncultured bacterium. RNAcentral describes it as "partial 16S ribosomal RNA". It matches the Rfam family "Bacterial small subunit ribosomal RNA", at positions 29 to 507 of the family's 1533-position model. The record is from RNAcentral.
AUGAACGCUGGCGGCGUGCCUAAUACAUGCAAGUCGAGCGAACAGACGAGGAGCUUGCUCCUCUGACGUUAGCGGCGGACGGGUGAGUAACACGUGGAUAGCCUACCUAUAAGACUGGGAUAACUUCGGGAAACCGGAGCUAAUACCGGAUAAUAUAUUGAACCGCAUGGUUCAAUAGUGAAAGACGGUUUUGCUGUCACUUAUAGAUGGAUCCGCGCCGCAUUAGCUAGUUGGUAAGGUAACGGCUUACCAAGGCGACGAUGCGUAGCCGACCUGAGAGGGUGAUCGGCCACACUGGAACUGAGACACGGUCCAGACUCCUACGGGAGGCAGCAGUAGGGAAUCUUCCGCAAUGGGCGAAAGCCUGACGGAGCAACGCCGCGUGAGUGAUGAAGGUCUUCGGAUCGUAAAACUCUGUUAUUAGGGAAGAACAAAUGUGUAAGUAACUAUGCACGUCUUGACGGUACCUAAUCAGAAAGCCACGGCUAACUACGUG